UUCCUGUCCCAGCUUUGUUUCCUGGUGUGCAGAAAUGUGAACAAGCAGCCUCACCGUCCUGCAGCCACAACCUGGAGACAGCAUGCUUUCCCCACCAUGAUGAAGGAUACCCUGAAAACAUACAGCCCAUUGUGUGGAAGCUCAGCCUGAAGACUGACAGGUGAACUUAUCCGGAACCAUGUCUAAGCAUAAGAUGAACUUCACCUCAGCAUCCCGAAUAAUUAUAGUAUUUGGCCAGCAUUGUUGAACAGGGGUUUAAAACUCCAUCAGGUUCUAGUUACUCUGCCUUCAGCGACCACAGCUGGCCACCCGGAAGAAGACAAUUAUGGAAUAAUGUUGUUAUGUCUUAAUAAAGAUUACUGAUGUCUGAGGCAAGAUCAGUGUAAGUGAACUUUCAUGGGCAUGUACCUCCCAACCCUCCUCCAUGUGUGUAAUUAAAAAAAGAAAACAAAAGAAAAUAAACAGCUGGAUGCUAAUGCUAUU
Molecule: long non-coding RNA, 483 nt
Organism: Meriones unguiculatus (Mongolian gerbil)
Lineage: Eukaryota; Metazoa; Chordata; Mammalia; Rodentia; Muridae
Exons: 2
Source: RefSeq, a predicted model, not a curated record